GGUGAGACAUGCACAGAAGUGAUAGAUAUGUAUUAUAAAUAUAGAAAAUUGAAUAUUUUAAUAAAAAAAAUCUGUAUCCUAGACCCAAGCGCCUGUGAUGAAAUGAUGAAAUUGUUUGUGAGUUCUAAAAAUUAAUCGCUAUUCCAUUGCGAUUGUGGCACAGGAGCUUGCCUCAGAAAAAAUCCAUUAUACAUUACGGUAUUUUAUGAGACAAAUGCCUCUGGAGUCUUGUCUGCCAUUUAAAUGAUUACGGUUCUUUAUGAAAGAACAUUUUACGUACAGCAAUAAUGUGAAUUUGUUG
RNAcentral lists this long non-coding RNA (301 nucleotides) under Mytilus galloprovincialis (Mediterranean mussel). Lineage: Eukaryota; Metazoa; Mollusca; Bivalvia; Mytilida; Mytilidae. The record is from RNAcentral.